Molecule: ribosomal RNA, 253 nt
Filed under: uncultured bacterium
Lineage: Bacteria
Description: partial 16S ribosomal RNA
Rfam family: Bacterial small subunit ribosomal RNA
Source: RNAcentral
UACGAAGGGGGCUAGCGUUGCUCGGAGUCACUGGGCGUAAAGCGCACGUAGGCGGAUUGCUAAGUCAGGGGUGAAAUCCUGGAGCUCAACUCCAGAACUGCCUUUGAUACUGGCGAUCUUGAGUCCGGGAGAGGUGAGUGGAACUGCGAGUGUAGAGGUGAAAUUCGUAGAUAUUCGCAAGAACACCAGUGGCGAAGGCGGCUCACUGGCCCGGUACUGACGCUGAGGUGCGAAAGCGUGGGGAGCAAACAGG